CCUACGGGAGGCAGCAGUGAGGAAUAUUGGUCAAUGGACGAGAGUCUGAACCAGCCAAGUAGCGUGAAGGAUGACUGCCCUAUGGGUUGUAAACUUCUUUUAUAAAAGAAUAAAACGAGGCACGUGUGCCUUUUUGCAUGUACUUUAUGAAUAAGGAUCGGCUAACUCCGUGCCAGCAGCCGCGGUAAUACGGAGGAUCCGAGCGUUAUCCGGAUUUAUUGGGUUUAAAGGGAGCGUAGAUGGGUUGUUAAGUCAGUUGUGAAAGUUUGCGGCUCAACCGUAAAAUUGCAAUUGAUACUGGCAGUCGUGAGUACAGUUGAGGUAGGCGGAAUUCGUGGUGUAGCGGUGAAAUGCUUAGAUAUCACGAAGAACCCCGAUUGCGAAGGCAGCUUACUAAACUGUGACUGACAUUGAUGCUCGAAAGUGUGGGUAUCAAACAGGAUUAGAUACCCGGGUAGUC
Molecule: ribosomal RNA, 460 nt
Filed under: uncultured bacterium
Lineage: Bacteria
Description: partial 16S ribosomal RNA
Rfam family: Bacterial small subunit ribosomal RNA
Source: RNAcentral